AGGUGGUUAAUGCAGAUAGUAUUGCAGAAGGUACGUGGAAUCGUGGAUAUACGAGUGGGCCCCGUCCGCUAGUAGUUCGAGUUCCUGACAAUCCUUCUUCUAACACAGUUAUCGUCACUUUACAUUCUGGUAACACACAAACCAAUCCUGGGUUUCAAGUUACUUAUAGAAUAGUUUGGUAAGUGCAUAUGAUAUAUAAUCACACUUUUUUAAGAGAAUGGUAUUGAUAUUGCAGUUGAAGAGAUUUUGAUACUGUUGCAGAAUCAAUGCUUAAGUUAAUAAAAAAAAGACAUGAACAUAUAUAACGGACGUAGACGAACAACUGUUUACAAAACUUACACAUAUGUUAGUGAGUGCACGAAUUUAAAUGAUGGAGGGCUUUGACAAGACAAGAUUCAUCUAUUUCGGAAAACGGGGAAAAUCGAAUGUCCGUGCAACAUAGAUUACUUACAUGAUAAUGAUUUUUCAAUGCAGAACAAGAACUUACGAAAAAUCAUAAAGAGAAAAAUAAUGAAAAUACACAUCUGAAGUUUUAUAAUGCUAGUAUCAAAACCCUACAGAACAACAAUAUUACAGUAAAGUUUAUAGCUUCUUAAUAUUUAUUGCCUACGUUGAAACGGCGUCACAUCCUCCUAACUAACUACCAUUCCAUUCAUUUGUAAUUUCUAUCGUAUUCAGUUUAUAUAUUAUUUAUACUAUAAAUAAAUCUUAAAACCCAGUGGCUAUAAUAAAUAUCAAAUUAUCAUGGUAUUCAGAAUCAUCAAUAAAUAUGUACAAUUUGACGUUGACAUAUUACUCGGAUGUAUGCAACAGAUUUGUAUAUCGUGUUAUGAUGUUAUUAUUUCUCAUCUACAAAAUUGCCUAUCCAUGUAGAAGUUCAAUCAAAAGGUCAGUUUUAUCUUGUCCAAUAGAAACCUCUAUUCGUGACCCCAAACACAAUGAUAUUGCGAAAUUGUGUUAUACAUUUUGUAAAACAAAGGACUGGUUGUUUAGAUAUACUGAUUAUAUUAGUUAUUUCAAGGCUUCCAUAUAUAUUUCAAACAGUAUUUUGUUUUUCAAUUUACACAGUUAAGGAUGGACAUGUCCCAAAGUCAUAAAUAUUUUAAUUAUACGAAAACAAUCUGUAUCUGUGUUUUAUUUCAUUUUCAUUUUUCAACUCUAUUUGUAUUUUACAGAUGACAGACCUGCACAUACAUAAACACGUGGAACUACAGCCAGUAAGAACUAACUGUUGAAAUAAAAACUAAAU
Molecule: long non-coding RNA, 1249 nt
Filed under: Mytilus galloprovincialis (Mediterranean mussel)
Lineage: Eukaryota; Metazoa; Mollusca; Bivalvia; Mytilida; Mytilidae
Source: RNAcentral